This 469-nucleotide ribosomal RNA is filed under the name uncultured bacterium. RNAcentral's name for it is "bacterial SSU rRNA". It matches the Rfam family "Bacterial small subunit ribosomal RNA", at positions 28 to 498 of the family's 1533-position model. The record is from RNAcentral.
GAUGAACGCUAGCGGCAGGCUUAACACAUGCAAGUCGAGGGGUAUAGCUCUUCGGAACUAGAGACCGGCGCACGGGUGCGUAACGCGUAUGCAAUCUACCUUUCACAAAGGGAUAGCCCCAGAGAAAUUUGGAUUAAUACCUUAUAGUAAUACGACUUGGCAUCAAGAUGUAUUUAAAGAUUUAUCGGUGAAAGAUGAGCAUGCGUCCAUUAGCUUGUUGGUAAGGUAACGGCUUACCAAGGCAACGAUGGGUAGGGGUCCUGAGAGGGAGAUCCCCCACACUGGUACUGAGACACGGACCAGACUCCUACGGGAGGCAGCAGUGAGGAAUAUUGGACAAUGGGCGCAAGCCUGAUCCAGCCAUGCCGCGUGCAGGAUGACGGUCCUAUGGAUUGUAAACUGCUUUUGUACAGGAAGAAACCCUUUCACGUGUGGAAGAUUGACGGUACUGUAAGAAUAAGGAUCGGCU